CUUGGUCAUUUAGAGGAAGUAAAAGUCGUAACAAGGUCUCCGUUGGUGAACCAGCGGAGGGAUCAUUACCGAGUUUACAACUCCCAAACCCCUGUGAACAUACCAAUUGUUGCCUCGGCGGAUCAGCCCGCUCCCGGUAAAACGGAACGGCCCGCCAGAGGACCCCUAAACUCUGUUUCUAUAUGUAACUUCUGAGUAAAACCAUAAAUAAAUCAAAACUUUCAACAACGGAUCUCUUGGUUCUGGCAUCGAUGAAGAACGCAGCAAAAUGCGAUAAGUAAUGUGAAUUGCAGAAUUCAGUGAAUCAUCGAAUCUUUGAACGCACAUUGCGCCCGCCAGUAUUCUGGCGGGCAUGCCUGUUCGAGCGUCAUUUCAACCCUCAAGCCCCCGGGUUUGGUGUUGGGGAUCGGCGAGCCUCACGGCAAGCCGGCCCCGAAAUCUAGUGGCGGUCUCACUGCAGCCUCCAUUGCGUAGUAGCUAACACCUCGCAACUGGAACGCGGUGCGGCCAAGCCGUUAAACCCCCCCAACUUCUGAAUGUUGACCUCGGAUCAGGUAGGAAUACCCGCUGAACUUAAGCAUAUCAAUAAGCGGAGGA
This 597-nucleotide ribosomal RNA is filed under the name uncultured Ascomycota. RNAcentral describes it as "eukaryotic LSU rRNA". The stretch from base 217 to 370 matches the Rfam family "5.8S ribosomal RNA". The record is from RNAcentral. Lineage: Eukaryota; Fungi; Ascomycota.